AAUAAUUUGUUGAAAUAUGAGAGGAAAAAGUAUACUAGACUAAUUGAGAAACUCAAGCUUUGAUUUGUGGUUGAUGCUAAAAGCUUUCAAGUACAUGGGUAUUUAUAGGUAAUAGUACUACUACUGUUACUGCUACUACUACCAAUAAUGUUAUUACUACUGUUACUACUACUCUGUUACUACUGUUGUUAUUAUUACUACUAGUAUAGCUGCUACUACUACUACAACUUCUACUGUUGCUACUGCUACUACUAUUAGUAUUGAUACUAUUGUUGCUGCUACUGUUACUGCUAAUAUUGCUACUGUUGUAAAAGCCUGAAACUUAAAAAAAAUAAAGUCAUGAAUUAAAUGCGAAAGCGAAAUAAUAGAAUUUAGGGUUUAAAUUCCUUACACAAUAAUUUAGAAUGCCCAAUAGGGCUAGGGGAAUGUCACUUCUAAAAGAAAUUAUGAAAAUCAAGGAAAUAAAUAAAAAGCCAAUAACUAAAUAUUCUAGGAUGACCUUCACUAACUUCUGAAGGGAGUCUGAGUGGUGAAUUUAUUCACAAUCCUCUUGUUGAUCGGGAUCUGGGUCUUGGUCCUCUUGGUAAGAAAUACUUAAUGAAAGGGUGAGCUACACUAGCUCAAUAAGAAUAUCACACUACUCACCGAUACAAAAAUUGAAGGUUGGUAAAAAUCAUAAAAACAACCAAUGAAACUCUUGAUUUAAGUAAAUUCAUUUAUCAUAAAAAAAAUCAUUUAUUGCAUAUAUUUACCGUUGCGAGAUUUCUAAAAUUGUCCUAUAGAGACAAUAACUCAAAUAACAUUUCAAUCUCAUUUUUGAGUGAGCAAUAACAACCACUUUUCCUUUUUUAUUUGCCUACUGGUAU
This 866-nucleotide long non-coding RNA is filed under the name Carica papaya (papaya). RNAcentral describes it as "long non-coding RNA (CPAP_LNC011947)". Lineage: Eukaryota; Viridiplantae; Streptophyta; Magnoliopsida; Brassicales; Caricaceae. The record is from RNAcentral.